Molecule: ribosomal RNA, 160 nt
Filed under: uncultured bacterium
Lineage: Bacteria
Description: partial 16S rRNA
Rfam family: Bacterial small subunit ribosomal RNA
Source: RNAcentral
GGAAUCUUCCACAAUGGACGCAGUCUGAUGGAGCAACGCCGCGUGAGUGAAGAAGGGUUUCGGCUCGUAGAGCUCUGUUGUUAAAGAAGAACGUGGGUAAGAGUAACUGUUUACCCAAUGACGGUAUUUAACCAGAAAGCCACGGCUAACUACGUGCCAG